UACGUAGGGGGCAAGCGUUGUCCGGAAUCAUUGGGCGUAAAGCGCGUGUAGGCGGCUCGAUAAGUCUGCUGUGAAAGUCCAGGGCUCAACCCUGGAAAGCCGGUGGAAACUGUCGGGCUAGAGUCCGGAAGAGGCGAGUGGAAUUCCUGGUGUAGCGGUGAAAUGCGCAGAUAUCAGGAGGAACACCAAUGGCGAAGGAAGCUCGCAGGGACGGUACUGACGUUGAGACGCGAAAGCGUGGGGAGCAAACAGG
RNAcentral lists this ribosomal RNA (253 nucleotides) under uncultured bacterium. RNAcentral describes it as "partial 16S ribosomal RNA". It matches the Rfam family "Bacterial small subunit ribosomal RNA", at positions 524 to 776 of the family's 1533-position model. The record is from RNAcentral.